Molecule: long non-coding RNA, 104 nt
Organism: Rhinichthys klamathensis goyatoka
Lineage: Eukaryota; Metazoa; Chordata; Actinopteri; Cypriniformes; Leuciscidae
Exons: 2
Source: RefSeq, a predicted model, not a curated record
UCUGUUUAAUUCAGAUUAUCUGACCUGCUUAAAUAUCACCACAUUUUCAUAUUUGUGCACAUAUCUGACGAGGUGGUGUGUUGAUCCGGUUCUGGGUGCAAGAA